GAUGAACGCUGGCGGCGUGCUUAACACAUGCCAGUCGAACGAUGAAGCCCAGCUUGCUGGGUGGAUUAGUGGCGAACGGGUGAGUAACACGUGAGUAACCUGCCCUUAACUCUGGGAUAAGCCUGGGAAACUGGGUCUAAUACCGGAUAGGAGCGUCCACCGCAUGGUGGGUGUUGGAAAGAUUUAUCGGUUUUGGAUGGACUCGCGGCCUAUCAGCUUGUUGGUGAGGUAAUGGCUCACCAAGGCGACGACGGGUAGCCGGCCUGAGAGGGUGACCGGCCACACUGGGACUGAGACACGGCCCAGACUCCUACGGGAGGCAGCAGUGGGGAAUAUUGCACAAUGAGCGCAAGCCUGAUGCAGCGACGCCGCGUGAGGGAUGACGGCCUUCGGGUUGUAAACCUCUUUCAGUAGGGAAGAAGCGAAAGUGACGGUACCUGCAGAAGAAGCACCGGCUAACUACGUG
RNAcentral lists this ribosomal RNA (466 nucleotides) under uncultured bacterium. RNAcentral's name for it is "partial 16S ribosomal RNA". It matches the Rfam family "Bacterial small subunit ribosomal RNA", at positions 28 to 507 of the family's 1533-position model. The record is from RNAcentral.